RNAcentral lists this ribosomal RNA (575 nucleotides) under Nitzschia cf. incrustans. RNAcentral describes it as "eukaryotic LSU rRNA". It matches the Rfam family "Eukaryotic large subunit ribosomal RNA", at positions 364 to 1006 of the family's 3401-position model. The record is from RNAcentral. Lineage: Eukaryota; Bacillariophyta; Bacillariophyceae; Bacillariales; Bacillariaceae.
AUGCAAAGAACUUUGAAAAGAGAGUUAAAGAGUACCUGAAAUUGCUGAAAGGGAAGCGAAGGAAACCAGUGUUUGCCUGGUCAUAUUUCCCUGGCCGCUUGCGGCUUGGGCGCUGUGUCCGGCUUGUGUUGUGCUUGGUUGUCGCCCUUGGAAGAGCGCGGAGGGAGUUGACCUCCGUUGCUAGCAUUGGGCUUCGACUGAGCAGGACGAAAUGGUUUUCUUUACCCCGUCUUGAAACACGGACCAAGGAGUCUAACAUAUGUGCGAGUACAGGGGUGGCAAACCCCCGUGCGCAAUGAAAGUGACAGUGGUUGGAUAUUUGCACAAUCCGCCGGCCUCAAUCCCUCGGGAGAACGGUCUGAGUGUGAGCAUACAUGUUGGGACCCGAAAGAUGGUGAACUAUGCCUGAAUAGGGUGAAGCCAGGGGAAACUCUGGUGGAGGCUCGUAGCGAUUCUGACGUGCAAAUCGAUCGUCAAAUUUGGGUAUAGGGGCGAAAGACUAAUCGAACCAUCUAGUAGCUGGUUCCCUCCGAAAUUUCCCUCAGGAUAGCUGCGAUCGGAGUUCAAUUUUAUCA